RNAcentral lists this ribosomal RNA (444 nucleotides) under uncultured prokaryote. RNAcentral's name for it is "bacterial SSU rRNA". It matches the Rfam family "Bacterial small subunit ribosomal RNA", at positions 355 to 796 of the family's 1533-position model. The record is from RNAcentral.
UAAGGAAUAUUGGACAAUGGGCGCAAGCCUGAUCCAGCCAUGCCGCGUGCAGGAAGACUGCCCUACGGGUUGUAAACUGCUUUUAUAUAGGAAGAAUAGUCUCGAUUUAUCGGGAUGUGACGGUACUAUAAGAAUAAGCACCGGCUAACUCCGUGCCAGCAGCCGCGGUAAUACGGAGGGUGCAAGCGUUAUCCGGAAUCACUGGGUUUAAAGGGUGCGUAGGCGGUUUGGUAAGUCAGGGGUGAAAGUUUCCCGCUCAACGGGAGAAUUGCCUUUGAUACUGCUAGGCUUGAAUAGUGAUGAGGUGAGCGGAAUGUGGCAUGUAGCGGUGAAAUGCAUAGAUAUGCCAUAGAACACCGAUUGCGAAGGCAGCUCACUGGACAUAUAUUGACGCUGAGGCACGAAAGCGUGGGUAGCGAACAGGAUUAGAUACCCCCGUAGUCC